GACGUAGGGCGCAAGCGUUGUCCGGAAUUACUGGGCGUAAAGCGCACGUAGGCGGUCUUUUAAGUCGGGGGUGAAAUCCUGGAGCUCAACUCCAGAACUGCCUUCGAUACCUGGAAGACUUGAGUCCGGGAGAGGUGAGUGGAACUGCGAGUGUAGAGGUGAAAUUCGUAGAUAUUCGCAAGAACACCAGUGGCGAAGGCGGCUCACUGGCCCGAUACUGACGCUGAGGUGCGAAAGCGUGGGGAGCAAACAGG
RNAcentral lists this ribosomal RNA (254 nucleotides) under uncultured bacterium. RNAcentral describes it as "partial 16S ribosomal RNA". It matches the Rfam family "Bacterial small subunit ribosomal RNA", at positions 524 to 776 of the family's 1533-position model. The record is from RNAcentral.